AUCCCAUCGAACAGCAAGAGGUCCCAACUUUUAAAACACUUAUAAGUAGGAAACCUCUUCUCCUUUCUCUUCCCCUUCAAGGAGUACUAAACGAGUUUCCAGGAUGGACUAAGCCUACUGGAGCCCAUGUGCCCAUGUGUCUGUGUCCACGGGGAUGAGCUGAGCCUGUGUCCCCACUUGUCUCUGCUGCCUGUUGUUAGCAAGAAAUUGCCUGCAGCACAUCCUGUAAAGACAUCCUAAUUUCUCUUCUCUCAACCUGUGAGACCUCAGCACUGGACCAUGUGACAAGUGGUGAAACUCAGGCAUAUUACAUGGUAGGCUUGGAAUCCUGCUGUCUUGACCCUCUCCAAGGCUCUUUGGACUAAACCUUCCCAUUAAGGAGCAGACCCCUAGCUGCAACCCCACAUUUCUCUUCCAUUCAAUGACCUAGGUGUCAGCUGGACCCAGCCAAAGGAUGCCUGGCAAGCAGAGUGACAAUAAGCAGUAUCUCAGUGCAGCACAGCAAAGUGAGAGGAGAGCUUGGCAGAUGGGUAAAGUGGGAGUGGGGCUGGUGUACUGAUCCCUUCAGUGUCCAAGAGCUGGCAGGCAGCUGUUUGCCUGAUGGAAACCAAGAGAGAUUUUUUUCUUAUUUUUUUAAAGGCAUAACUGUUGGCUAAUGAAAUUAUCAUUUAAAACUACUCCUACUGCUCCUGCCAGUGCUGCUCUCAGUGCUGCUACAAUUACCGCUCCUAACAAUAUUAAUCUUCAUUUUCUGAUCACAUUCUUGUAUUUUUACUACAUCAGGAUAGUUAUUGUGCUUUGAAAUAGCGUACUUCAUCAAGACAAUGUUUUUUUUUUUCAUUUGGUUAACAUGUGUUUCUCUUUGAUUAAUAACUGUGCAAACUAUGUCUUACAUAAAAAUUUUAAUUUCAUGAAUGGUGUCAGUCCUCUCCUUAUCUAUCCUGAUAUGCUAAUAGA
Molecule: non-coding RNA, 957 nt
Organism: Cyanistes caeruleus (blue tit)
Lineage: Eukaryota; Metazoa; Chordata; Aves; Passeriformes; Paridae
Source: RefSeq, a predicted model, not a curated record